UGCAGAUCUCACCUGUGGAGGCUGGAGGUGUGGCCUAGUGGCAGAGCUGGUGCUUAGCACGUGUGAGGCUCUGGGUUUGAUUCCCAGCACCUGCUUCCCCAAAUCACCCGUGAGUGAAUACGUGAGCCGAGCCCCAGGUUCUAUGUGCACUGUGGGUGGAAGGGAUCUUAAAGAGGCAGAUUUGAAAGGAUGCAAAAAGGAUUCUAGGCCCUAACCAGAGCUGGCUUCCCUCAAAAGUAUGUUGUUUAGGAGCUUAAAAAAAAAAAAAAAGGCUAAUAUUAAUAAUAUUGACUGAUCAUUAGGGAUUCUUCAGAUGUAUUUAACAUGUUUCUUCAUAAAUCUUUAUGAAGCUACCCUGAGAAAGAUCUUCUGAUGGGGUGCAGAAUAUGAUAAUUACUAGAGAUGAUUGAAGAUGUACACACAUUGGCUUCAGUUGAAACCUGGCUCUCCAUCCUCUGCAGGACUUCUGCGAAGGAGCUGGGAGAGGGAGAAUACAGCCUUCCUUCCCCAGCCCCCAGCUGUUGAGAACUUAACCUUUGAAUUUAAGAUCACAGUCAGCCUUACGUUUCUGCAGGUCCCACAUCUGUGGGUUCAACCAACUGUGGAUCAAAGAUGUUCGAAAAAUAGUUGUAUCUGUACUAAACAUGCAGAGAACUGUUCUAGCCUUUUUUCUAAAUGAUACAAUAUGACAACUAUCAACAUAGCAUUUAUAGGGUAUCAGGUUUUAUAAGUCAUCUAGAGAUGAUUUGUAUAGAUUCUAUGCAAAUAUUAUGCUAAUUUCUAUAAGGAACUCGAGCAUCUUCAGAUUUUGGUAUCCAUGGGGCUGAUACCAAGGGAUGAAUGUAUUUCUCCAAUUCAAAGUUUGAAACUAUAAACUUUAUAAAAUUGCUCUUGCCCAAGAUUAUCACACAUUGCCAUAUAAUUUUUUUUUUUUUUUUGUGACCUGCAACUUAAAGAGAACUGGAUUUAUAUUUAACUUUGACUUAUCCAGUCACCAGGGACCACUCUUCCUCUCUCAGACUCUUGAGUUUUUCUCUCUUGGCAGAAGGAAAGCUGUCUGCAUUUGGCCUGUUCUCUCUGACCAAAGUGGCUCAGUGUCUUCUGCAGGUAAGUGGGUUCAAGGUUACAUUUAAGAUGGCGUGUACUUGCUGCCUUGAAAACAUUUAAAUUGAUUAUUUGCAAGUGUGUUUUUGGCCACAGGCUAAAAUGAUGAGAGUCUGGAAAUCAGAUUAGCGCAGAAGCAAAUCAGAUUUUUGAAGUAUGUAUUCUAUCUUCAGGACUUCAAACUUGGGGAGGGAACCAUUUAAAGAAUUGAGUAUACUUUCUUUCUUUCCUUUUUAUUGAGAUAUUUGACAGCACGUGAGCAACACCUGAAUCAGAUUCUUCUGUGGUGCUGAGGAUGGAACCCAGGGCCUCCCAUGCUGGAUGAGCGCUCAGCCACUGAGCCAACUUCCGAGGCCUGGAGCAGAGUGUCCAUCCCGGAUUCUCACGCGUGGCUUUGAUUGUGUUUGUGCUUCUAAAGGAAUCGAUGCUCAAGUGGGGCCAGGUGAAUUCAUGCACAAUGUGACCUCAAUUGCUUUUUGUUUCGUUGUGGCAAAUAUAUAUAUAACUUGAAUUGUGUCAUCCUAACCAUUUAAAGUGCCCAGUUCAGUGGCAUUAGGUAAUUCAUGUACAACCAUCAACACCCUCCAUCUCCAGAACUUUAUCAUCACCUCAGACUGAAACUGUAUCCAUUAAACAUUAAUUUUUCAUUCCUUCUCCCCCAACCCCUGGCUACCAUCUCUCUGAAUUGGAUGGCAGGAGGUACCCAGGCAAGUAGAAUCAUACAGUAGCUGUCUUUUGUGUCUGGCUGACUUAACUUAGCAUAAUGCCCCCCUGGUUCAUCCAUGCCAUGGCAUGGUGUCAGAAUUUCCUUUCUCAAAGAGGCUAAGAUCCAGCACAUGUAUAUACUGCACACUACACUUUCUUUUUCUUCUCCUUUUUUUUUUUGGUACUGGGGAUUGAACUCAGGGUACUUGACCACUGAGCCACAUCCCCAGCCCUAUUUUGUAUUUUACUAAGAGGGUCUCAUUGAGUUGCUCAGUGCCUUGCUGUUGCUGAGGAUGGCUUUGAACUCACCAUCCUCCUGCCUUAGCCUCCUGAGCUGCUGGUACACCCCACCUCGCCUCUACCACAUGUUCUUCAUUCACCUACCAGUGCAUCUUUUGGCUCUUGUGAGUAAUGCUGUCACGAACAUGAGUGUGCAAAUAUCUGUUCAAGUCCCUGCUUCAGUCUUGCUCAUUUUUAUGUCCUGUGUCAUCUUUAGCACUGAUGAGUAAAACUCUUUCCAUUCUCGCAGAGUAGCCCUUUGGGGGUACUCUUUUAAUAUUCUGUAUUCUAUAGCAAAGCAAAAAAAAAAAAAAAAAGAUUGGAAAAUGUUGCUGACAAUCAACUUGUAGGACAAGUUAUUUUUCUUUUUGCAGGAAUCUUGCUGUUAAAGCACCCUUUUGUAAUCCCAUUUCAGGGCACGCUGAGCAGUUGAUCUGUUUACUGGCCGACAUGUGGUUUGGAGGGGAGGCUGUGGAGGGUGGAGUGACCCACUCUGGCUUGAUGCUGGGGCUCUGCCAGCUCAUCUGUGUCUUUAAAACAUUCUGCACAUGUUCACUUGAGACUGGCACCUGCCCUGCGCCAUCACCCUCUGUCACUUCCUUCCCUGUAUUUCAAAUUGAGCUUUCAAUGUCCUGCCCAGAUGCCUGGUUAAGAAGUCAUAGGAUUAAAAAACCAAAAAACCAAAAUAAUCCCCCCACCCCACAAGACACCCAGCACCUAAAGAAUAACCCAGUUCUACUAACUCAUUGUAAAACGUUUGGCUUUAUUUGGGUCUCAACCAUGAUGCCCCAAACCCCACGGGGCUUUCUCUCUGGGGAUCUUUCUGCGUUUUGGCUUCCCUGGGGCCCCACACACUCGGUUUGGUGGGCUAGUUCUGCCUUGUGUUUCAUCACAGGAAAGUUAUUCUGGGUCUCAAAAAGGCCUCGUAAAUCUGCUCCCCAGAUGGAAGUCUCCAGUAAAAAUCUCCUCUCUUUGUGCAUCUCUCAAAUUCCUCUUUAAUUUAAUUCAACAAAUGAAUAAUCAAAUGGGGUGUGAGAUAAGCUGUAAUCCCCCCCCCCAAAAAAAAAUUUUGUUUUUAAACAAGCACUAUUGUGAAUUUGACCACUUUCCUUAGUUUAUGAUUAGCCAAGUAUGCAGCAGGCGAACGGGUGAUUCCUCAGGAAGGCAGUCAAGGGUAAGCUGAAGGUCAUUAACCAGUGCACAGCACUGGGUAGGCAAAAUGUUACUGGAUCCUAGCAUAUUUGUUAUUCCUUUCUUAAAAGGAACUUCAUAACACAAGUUUGAGUUUAUAAGAGGCUGAGAUAUAAUUUCUCUUUAAAGAGACAGGUUAAGGGAUAGGUAGGCCCCAGGGUCAAGGGCAUAGGGAUCAGCAUUGUGACCUUGGAGUGGAGAACUAGACCUGACACGGGUCUUAGGACUUUUGUUCUGCUCCCAAGCAGGAGAGAUGACAUGGGGAGGUGCUGCUUGUGUGACUAGGCCUGGUGACUUGGUGGGUUGAUGGCACCUUUUGGGCAGCCUGUGGAUGUCUGCCCUGAAACCCAACGGAAGCAUUCCUUCCUCCCUCCCUCUCCCCACAUGCACAGCUGAGGCUGGGUUUCCCCUCUUCUGUACAUGCUUCUGCUUUGGAUUAUGGGCAUAAGAAACACACAGUGUUCUUUCUACAAGUACACACUUUUUUUUAAAGCCUUUUAUAUGUUUUUUUAAAAUAUAUGUUUUUGCAGGGUGUGGUGGUGCAUACUUUUAAUCCCAGUGGCUCAGGAGGCUGAGGCAGAAGAUCUGCAGGUUGAAAGCCACCCUCAGCAACAUAACGAGGUCCUAAGCAACUUGGAGAGACCCUGUCUCAAAAUAAAAAUAAGUUAAUUUAUUGUGGCUCAGUGGUUAGGCACUCCUGGGUUCAAUCCCUGGAAGAAAAAUUUUUUCAAAAGUAAUAAUUCUAUAAUUUUUUUAGAAAUUAUUUUUUUAAAAAAAUAAUGUUUAUAAUUUUUCCAAAAAUUAUAAGAGCCUCCCAGGUAGGUUGAAACAAAACAACACAGAACAGCAAAUAAAAAGUACUUCAACCCCUCCUAUCCCUCCUGGUUUCUCCCCACUCUCCCAAACCCAUAAUCAUGGAAUUGCACAUGAACCCUCUGUAUUCUUAUUUUAUAGAAAUAUUUUAUGAAUUGCAUAGCAGGUGGUUUUGCUUUAGAGAUCUGGAGUCAUCGUACAGCUGCCGUUGCUUCUGGGUUUCAGUUACCCAUGGUCAAUAGGCAUCCUUGUCCUGGCCUGUCAUCAGAAGGUCCACAGUAGCCUAAGCUAUGUCUCCAUGUCUGGGUCUUUCCCUUCAGUGCAUCUUAUCACGAGGGCAUCGCAUCAUCUCACACCGUCACAGGGAGAAGAAGAGUGAGUUCAGUAUAAGGAGAUGAUUUGGGGGGAGAAAAAGAGAGUGACUAUAUUCACAUACCUUUCAUUACAGUAUGUUGCUAUAAUUGUCUUAUUGCUAUUUUUAAUCUCUCACUGUGCCUAAUUUAGAAAUUAAGCUUUAUCAUAGGUGUGGGUGUGGAUAGGAAUAAAAAAGCAGUGGACCAUACUGGGCUUGGCACUAUCUACAGUUUCAGGUAUCUGCUGGAGGUCUGAGGUUAGAGGGGGCUACUGUACAUAUAUUUGUGAAUGUUUUUCACUUUUGAGUAUAGCAUGGACAAGUUUCCAGAUCAGUAUAGAGACCGAACUCAUUUAAGAGGUACGUACCACUACCUAUGAAAAUUUGCUACCAUUUAUUCAGACAUCCCUGAUUGACAGACUUGCAACUUGCUUCCAGGUUUUACUACCAGGAACAAUGCUACAACUGGAAUCCUGUACAUAGAAACACCCAAGCUUUUACUUCUAGAGGAUGGAUAUCUUGCAGUGAGGUUCUGGGGUAUGCCCAAUUUUAAUACAUAUUGAUUGUUGACUUUCCCAAAAUUGAGUAGCUCACACCAUCGCUGGCAAUGGGAGAACACCUUAAACAUUUACAUUUCCUUUCCUGGGACUGGCCUAUUAUUUUUCAUAUUUGGGGGGGGUGUAUCUUUAAAUUAUUGAUUUAUAGCUCUCCAGCUGCCAUAUCAUUAUAAUAUUUCCUUUUAGCCUAUUCGUUGUCUUUUGACUUAGUGGUCCACAUCUUUUGUCAUAUGGACACCAUGACACCACAGAUGACUUUUCUUGUAGUCAAAGCUCUCGAUCUGUUUUUGGCUUCUGACACUCUUGCUUAAAACCUUCUCUACUUCAAGCAAGCAUCUCUCCCAUUCCCCAUUUUAUUCUAAAACUUCUAUUACCUAUUUUUGAUAUCAAAAUCCUUACUCUCUGUUGAAAUUUAUUUUUAAAGAGGAGAUGGGAAAGGAGAUAUGUAUAAUUAAAUUAUUUUUUCCCAGAUAGUUUCCAGUGAUGCCAACAGCAUAUAUGAAGCAAUCAAUUUCCUCUCUUUAAACUGAUGAUAAAUGCAUCAUAUGGUACUUGUUCUUAUUUCUGGGAUCCGUUCUUUUCCACUGAUCCAUUUGUUCCUGUGGCAAUUCUACAGAGUUUACAAUGGCUUUAAUCAUUAGUGUCGAUGUAUGGAAGGGCAAGCUUUCUCAUCAUUUUAGUUUUAAAUAUUUUUGGUAACUUCCAUGGAAAUGUUAACAUUAUCUAGCACCCAGACAUUUUCUUGGUAUUCCAAUUGGAAUUUUUAAAAAAUCAUCAUAUCCUUUUAGAAGACAUAUAUUAUUUUAUUGAGUUUCUCAUCCAGGAACAUUUUAUGUCUUUUAGUAAAAUUUUGUAGCCUACUUUGCAUAAAUUGUAUCUAUUUCUUGUUACAUUGAUUCAAAGAUAUUUUGUGUUUUUUACUAUGUUGAUUGAGAUUAUUUUUCAAUUUCCUUUUAAAAUUAUUUAUUUAUUUAUUUAUUUUGAGGCAGGGUCUAUCUUUGUUGCUCAGACUGGCUUUGAACUCUUGAUCUUCCUGCCUCAGCCUUCUGAGUCGCUGGGAUUAAAUGGGUAUAUCACCAUGCUCAGCACCAUUUCAUUUCUAAACUGGCUAUUACUAACAUAAAUAAGAACCUUUGAAUUUCAUAAAUUUAUUGCAUGUAGUUACCUUAUCAAAUUGUCCUAGUUCUUAUAAUAGAUUUUAAAGAUAGAAUCUUUCCCUUUUUCAGGUGUAGUCAUUUUAAUAUGUAAACAUAUUAGUCUUCCAAUGGUGAGAUUCCUUUUUAAGUUUUCUUGUCUUAUCGCAUUCGUGAGAACUUGCCAAAGUAGAUUGAAUAACUUUGGUGAAGAAGACAUUUUUGCCCUAGUUCAUAUUUGAAGGAAACCACUUUGCUAUUUCCUUGUUUGAUAUAAUGUCUGUUGGUCUUGAAGCUUUUUGUCACUCUUUAAAAAAAAAUUAGGAUUGUCUCCUGGAUUUUAUCAAAUGCCUGUUUUUCUUCAAUGUGAAUAUUAUUUGUCAUCUUUAAAAAUAAACCUCUCCCUAAGGGCCCCCACUUUCAAUGAUGUUGCUAUUAGCUGGAAAUUGAAAAAAUCUCACAGUUAGCAAUGGAUGUCAAACUCUGGUAACUUGCCACAUCCUGUGGAGUCCUGGAUGAUGUCAGCUUGGAGUUGUCAUUUGCAUACAGCAAGGAAAGGCACAGCAAGACAGAAACCAGGGACUUACGGGAAGGGUGGAGGUGAGUGUCUUACUUCUGAAGCAGCUGGGGAGACCAGGAAGCAGGAGCAGGGUGAGGAGUGCUGAUCACCAGGUGCUAUCAAUCAACCCGACAGCGUGAACCUGGGCGGCAAGGGUGGGGCGGAGGGUGGAAGCCAGUAUGAUUCUUCACUAAGCAUUGGGUAGAAAACUCCAGAAACCUGUGGAGCAGAUACCAAAGUCUGGUGUGAAUGACAGCUCAGGCCAUGGGCAGGCCAGGUGAGUGAGGCAUAGGAAUCAGAGGCUGGGGAGUAGGUGUAGGUGAUUCCAUGGUCGAGCUUAAUCUCCCGGGGUUUAGGACUACUGUGAAAGGCUGAAGAACUUGUUUCUUUGUCAUAUUUUGGGUAUUUUUAAUUUUAUGUUUUCUUUUUAGACUUUUAAUUUUUAUUUAUUUUUCUUGAGACAGGGUCUUGCUGUGUUGCUCAAGCUGGCCUCAAACUCCUGGACUCAAGCCAUCCUCCUGCCUCAGCCUCCAGUAGCUGGAACUACAGAUACAGGCUGGGGUCAUCUUGAAGAUAGUUUGGUAGGUUAUCUGUGAAUAAAAUGUAUGAUGAAAAAUUUGAACAACAUAGGCAUUAGUGCUUCCUGAGUGUUAUUGGGUGCUUUCUUCCUUUACAAAAGAAAUAUUAUCUUAAGCCCUCAUUUUUUUUUUUUUUGGUACCAGGGGCACAUGACCACUGAGCCACAUCCCCAGCCCUAUUUUGAAUUUUAUUUAGAGACAGGGUCUCACUGAGUUGCUUAGUGCCUUACUUAUUGCUGAGACUGGCUUUGAACUUGUGAUCCUCCUGCCUCAGCCUUCCUAGAAGCUGAGAUUUCAGGAGUGUGCCACCGGGUCCGGCCCAAAAUUUUAAAAUAAUCUUGAUUCCUAAAAAAAGGGAAAUAUAAAACAUGGAUAAAAAUGUGAUCUAGAAAACAGAAAAAUACAAAGAAAAAUAAGAAUAUAACCCAUCUUUUAAAGAAAAACUUCAAUACAUAUUUUAGUGCAUUUUCAUUCAGUCUUUUUUCUGUGAUUUGGGAUUAUAGAGAAUCUACAUGGAUAAAGUUUUUUUUUUCCUUUGUCUUUACUGUUUUCACCCAGAGAAAUUUUCUAGUGUCAUUAGGGCAUAUGAUCAGGAAUAUCUACAGUGCUUAGCAGAUAUGCAAGAAAUUGUUUCACUGAAUGAAUUGUUUCACUGAAUAUCAUAAAAAUCUCUGUGAACAGAACUUUUAAUAGCUACCUGGAAUUUCUCCUCUGUACACACCCUAGUUUAUGGAAGCCUUGAGGCAACCCUCUCCUUUCUCUCUAGCCAUGUGUCUUCAUUGCCUUGACCACCCCAAAUUUCUAGAAUGUUCUCCACACCCUCCCACUGAGUGCUGGACACUGGCUCCUUCCUCUGCUCUCCAUGCCAGGCUAACUCAUCCUUUUAGGUUCCACUUUGUAGACGCUCACCUGGCAAGACCGCCAUGUCCCCACAGCCAUUGGUCAGACUCAUCUUGGUCUCCCACACGGUCUCAAAAGAUCCCUGAAAUUGGGAAUUGUACCUUAUUUCUUUGGGGAAAUAUAUCCCAGGUAAAAUCGGGGCUUUGUGCAAUCAUAUUCACCAAAUCUGUAUUUAUAAAAGUGAAGAAUUAGACGUGUUCUCUCCGCCCACCCAAAUAAGGAAGGAGACCUGUAAGCUAAGCCACCCCAAGCCAGGAUGGGUCAUCCUUGGAACAGCCAUAAAAAUAUUCUUGGGUGGAUUCCAUUAACAAAUGCAAGACGGGAUCACAAAGUAACAAGUGGCAAAAACAAAUCCUAGUGAUGAUACAUCUGCGAACGUGUGUAGAUGUGUCCUAUAUUGGAAGAGAUUCAAGGCAUAGAUGCUCAGGAUAGUUAAGAAAAACUGGGCCAAAAGUCAAAUCCCAUAAUUUAAGCAAUAGUAGCAAACUUCACAUAGAAUUCUUCAUGAAAACGAGCACAAAGUUAUUGAAAUAUUGAGCACUGUGUGCAACAUAAAAAAGCGGAGGACAGGAUGUGUCUCAGGGUCUAAGCACCCUUUGGUUCAAUCCCCAGUGCCAAAACCAAAAAAGAUUACUUGGGAAAAAGUGGAGUGGCUCUUGUUAACUAUUCCUCCAACAUCCCAAUAUUCUUGUUGGAUAUGAAAUUUCUUUUCCAAUACACUGUGGUGGGUUUGGGCUAAAUGUGUUUGCUGAUACAUAGAAAAGAGCCUUUCAAAGUUCUCCGACUUUGAUGUGCCUAAGAAUCCCCUGGGGAUCCUGACAAAACAUGCAUCCUGAUUCUCCAGGUCCUGGUGAGGCCUGAGAUCCCCCUACUUCUCACAAGCUCUCUAAGGAGCUGACUAUAGCAUGAGCAGAUUUCAAUCAGUGAGAUUCUUGUUUGUUUGCUUUUUAAUCUUUUGUAUCUGCUGCUGCUAAAUAUGCAAACUAUACAUCCUUGUCACCCACCCCCUCCAUAUUCAGAAGUGCCUCUGAUUGAAAAUACCACUGUCUUGUGACCUCUCUCAGCCAAAAAGAAACUGCUUGAAUUUUUCCUAAAAAAUACCUUGAGUAUUCCUAACAUACAUAAUGUUGGAUAGGUGUUCCCAACUGCAUGGGAGGCCCAUUCUUCUUCCUUCUUGACAGUUAUUUUCAUGAUUGUUAUUUUUGUAUCUCUCACACUAUUUUCACAUGAGAAAGGUAAAAUUCUCCAUGAAGCCUUCCAGCAACCCUGUGGAAAAAUAUGCAAGUCUUUGAUAAGGCAGAGUUCCAAAUAAUAUUGAGUGCACCCACUGUGAUUCAGCUGACACUGUAGAACAAACAGUCCCCUGUCAAAGGCUGGUGUGUUGGUCAGUUUUCCAGUACUCUAACAAAAUACCUGAGAUAAUCAACUUAUAAAGAGGAAGGGUUUGUUUGGGUUUACAUGUUUUAGAGGUUUCAUUUCAUGAUUGAUUGGCUCUGUUGCUCUUGGACCCGUGGUGAGGCAGCAUGAUGGGGAGGGAGUGGCAGAGCAAAUCUUGCCUCACGAUGGCUGGGAAGAGGGAAAGUCAGGAAGGGACUGAAUUCCCACAAUCACACCCUCAAUGACUUGAACACCUCCCAGCAGGCCCCAUCUCUUAGAGUUCCACUGCCUUCCAAUAGCACCAAGCUGUAAACUGCAGAAGAUGGCAUUUGUUGGUUGUUUCCAUGGCUCUCAACACUUGAGUCAGGUACCACUUUAGCCAAGCCUGGCUCUCAGAGAGGGAAAGAAACAGCAGCCACCCUCCCUGAUACCAUUAUACAUCUUACUUUUCAACAUCUUCUAUGGUUACAGUCGAGGUGUUUUGAGUUUUACUCUCUUUCUUCCUAUUAAACAAGUAUCAAGAAUAUAAAGGGGCUGGGGUCAUAGCUCAGGGGUAGCGGGUUUAGCUCGCACAUGUGAGGCAUUGGGUUUGACCCUCAGCACCAUGUAAAAUAAAUAAAAUAAAGGUAUUGUGUCCCUCUACAACUGAAAAAAAUAUGAAAAGAAAAGAAUGUAAAUUAAGUUCCUUUUUGCUUGAAGUAGGCUUCGCUACUAAUUAUACUUUCUAGUUGAGGUUUUUGCGAUUAAUUUCUAGAUCCAACAAUCGGAGACCAACUCCCUGCAACUGUGCCCUGUUUUUCUCCUUCACCUGCCUGGUCCCUCUUCCCUCUGCUUUCUUCCCCUAGCCUGAUGUCACUGGACAUCAGGAUGAUGUCACUGGACAGCGGGAGGAGUAAAACCCACCAUCGUGAGUCCAGGGUCACCUCGGUCAGUCAUCACUGUGUCCUGUGAACUCCUGCCAUCAUAAUGGGUGAACACAUCCUGAUCACAGGCAGAGUGGCCCAGGGGGAGCAGGGAGUCUGGUGGAGGGGAAGUGGCUCUGUCCAUGGCUGUACCCCUGACUCACUGUGUAAACUUAGAUUCACUGUUUAGCCACUAGGUUUUUUUUUUUUUUAAAUCCCUUUGUUCUGAAUUAUACAUAUUCCCUAUAAAUCUAGAAUGCAAUUUCCAAAGAAUUAUAGCAUCUUUGUCUUGGCAGAUGUCUUGGGAGGGUUUAGGAAACCCUGUGUUCAUGGACUUGUUCUCCAGCCUGGUCCUUUGCAUGGUGUAUGCAACAUACCCCUCUCACACGGGAGAGGACCAGCUCUCACGGCCACUGGCUAGAUGUUUGUGUGUAAACACAGACAAAAAUUGAAAUGUACCCAAUAGUAAAUAGACGUUUGCUGGAAUCGUCAUUACUCUCUGCAAAAAUCAUAGCUACCUCUCAGGACUUCUAUUUACAAUACCCUUACAGUGCGCAGACUCUGUACUAGCCCCGCUUUCUCAGCAGAAACUUAAACAACUCCAUAAAUUCCCCAGAUCUGUUCAAUUUUCUUAUUCCUCAGAUGCUCACUUUAACCCUUUGCCAUCCCAACCAAGGGACUAUUUUUCUAACCACUUUUGCCUUGCUUGAUCCCAUUUUAAAAUUUAACCGCCCCCUUCAACCUCUGCACCUCAAUCUUGCAACAUAAACCAGGAAGUAGCCAGGUUCAUAGAUUGUGGACAAAUGGGAACAGAGCUGCCGGUUGAACCAUCAGUCUGCUUUUUCCUUAGCUGUAGAAAAAGAGGGUUUGUAGCUUGAGGAGUAGAUCAUUUUUCAGGGGCUUCCAGGCUAAUAAUAUUCUAUCCCUGUUGGCAAAAUUCCUCCCGCAAGUUGAGCAAGUCACUGUGACCCUCUGUACAGUAUAAAUGCCUCUGAUAUAGACUCUCAUUGGGAAAAGUCCUGGAAACACAGAGUUUGGAAACUGUAGGAUCUGCUCCAACCACGUGCCGCUCGGUUAGUCCCUCGCCCCUCUGACCCUCGCUCCCGUUUCUAGCGGAUGAAGGACCACUGCUGUCUUGGAUGAAAAGCCUGUACAGGAGAGAGG
RNAcentral lists this long non-coding RNA (11614 nucleotides) under Marmota monax (woodchuck). The stretch from base 24 to 95 matches the Rfam family "tRNA". The record is from RNAcentral. Lineage: Eukaryota; Metazoa; Chordata; Mammalia; Rodentia; Sciuridae.